AUAUGGGCGAAAGCCUGACGGAGCAAUGCCGCGUGAAUGAAGAAGGUCUUCGGAUCGUAAAGUUCUGUCAUUAGGGAAGAAAGGUGCGUAUGUGAAUAAUGUACGCAUUUGACGGUACCUAAGGAGGAAGCCACGGCUAACUACGUGCCAGCAGCCGCGGUAAUA
RNAcentral lists this ribosomal RNA (165 nucleotides) under uncultured Bacillota bacterium. RNAcentral describes it as "uncultured Firmicutes bacterium partial 16S rRNA". It matches the Rfam family "Bacterial small subunit ribosomal RNA", at positions 369 to 525 of the family's 1533-position model. Lineage: Bacteria; Bacillati; Bacillota. The record is from RNAcentral.